UACGUAGGGUCCGAGCGUUGUCCGGAAUUAUUGGGCGUAAAGGGCUCGUAGGCGGUUCGUCACGUCGGGAGUGAAAACUCGGGGCUUAACCCCGAGCCUGCUUCCGAUACGGGCAGACUAGAGGUAGGCAGGGGAGAGCGGAACUCCUGGUGUAGCGGUGGAAUGCGCAGAUAUCAGGAAGAACACCGGUGGCGAAGGCGGCUCUCUGGGCCUUACCUGACGCUGAGGAGCGAAAGCGUGGGGAGCGAACAGG
RNAcentral lists this ribosomal RNA (253 nucleotides) under uncultured bacterium. Its description in RNAcentral is "partial 16S ribosomal RNA". It matches the Rfam family "Bacterial small subunit ribosomal RNA", at positions 524 to 776 of the family's 1533-position model. The record is from RNAcentral.